GAGGUUAAGCGACUAAGCGUACACGGUGGAUGCCCUGGCAGUCAGAGGCGAUGAAGGACGUGCUAAUCUGCGAUAAGCGCCGGUAAGGUGAUAUGAACCGUUAUAACCGGCGAUUUCCGAAUGGGGAAACCCAGUGUGACUCGUCACACUAUCAUUAACUGAAUCCAUAGGUUAAUGAGGCGAACCGGGGGAACUGAAACAUCUAAGUACCCCGAGGAAAAGAAAUCAACCGAGAUUCCCCCAGUAGCGGCGAGCGAACGGGGAGGAGCCCAGAGCCUGAAUCAGCAUGUGUGUUAGUGGAAGCGUCUGGAAAGGCGCGCGAUACAGGGUGACAGCCCCGUACAC
Molecule: ribosomal RNA, 345 nt
Filed under: Salmonella enterica
Lineage: Bacteria; Pseudomonadati; Pseudomonadota; Gammaproteobacteria; Enterobacterales; Enterobacteriaceae
Description: partial 23S ribosomal RNA
Rfam family: Bacterial large subunit ribosomal RNA
Source: RNAcentral